GACGAACCGUCCAAACGUUAUUCGGUAUCACUGGGCUUAAAGCGUACGUAGGCGGCCUGGUAGGUGAGAUGUGAAAUCCCACGGCUCAACCGUGGAACUGCGUUUCAAACCACCAGGCUCGAGGAAGACAGGGGUGAUGGGAACUGAUGGUGGAGCGGUGAAAUGCGUUGAUAUCAUCAGGAACACCGGUGGCGAAAGCGCAUCACUGGGUCUUAUCUGACGCUGAGGUACGAAAGCUAGGGGAGCGAACGGG
This 253-nucleotide unclassified non-coding RNA is filed under the name uncultured Pirellulaceae bacterium. RNAcentral's name for it is "contains 16S-23S intergenic spacer region". It matches the Rfam family "Bacterial small subunit ribosomal RNA", at positions 524 to 776 of the family's 1533-position model. The record is from RNAcentral. Lineage: Bacteria; Pseudomonadati; Planctomycetota; Planctomycetia; Pirellulales; Pirellulaceae.